RNAcentral lists this ribosomal RNA (253 nucleotides) under uncultured bacterium. Its description in RNAcentral is "partial 16S ribosomal RNA". It matches the Rfam family "Bacterial small subunit ribosomal RNA", at positions 524 to 776 of the family's 1533-position model. The record is from RNAcentral.
UACGGGGGGGGCAAGCGUUGUUCGGAAUUACUGGGCGUAAAGGGCUCGUAGGCGGCCAACUAAGUCGGAUGUGAAAUCCCCAGGCUUAACCUGGGAACUGCAUCCGAUACUGGAUGGCUUGAAUCCGGGAGAGGGAUGCAGAAUUCCAGGUGUAGCGGUGAAAUGCGUAGAUAUCAGGAGGAACACCGGUGGCGAAGGCGGAUCUCUGGGCCGUAACUGACGCUGAGGAGCGAAAGCAUGGGGAGCGAACAGG